This 332-nucleotide long non-coding RNA is filed under the name Gallus gallus (chicken). Lineage: Eukaryota; Metazoa; Chordata; Aves; Galliformes; Phasianidae. The record is from RNAcentral.
GGCAGCGAAGGAGAAAAUUUGGAGAUGGCUACUGGAGAAAGAUGACCAAUAAUUUUUGGUUUCGGUGCUAGUGGUGGCUUUGUGAGUUCGGUGUUGUUCAUCUUCCACCGCAACUUCCCUCGCUGGCUGCCCCGGCCGCUCAGAGCAUCGUCCCGGGGCCGCCACCGCCCUCGCUCCUUGCGGACGCGCCCGGCGCUAGAGCCCCUCUGGGGGCAUGGGAGCGCGGGCGGGGCAGCUGGACCCGGCGCGGCGGGCUGGGCAGGCAGCACUGCCGGCUCGGGGGCGGUCAGCGCCGCGGCGCGCCUCCGCCCUGCCCCGCGCGCGGCCCGUCG